AAUCUUCCACAAUGGACGAAAGUCUGAUGGCGCAACGCCGCGUGAUUGAAGUAUGUUUUCGGUGCUUAAAACUCUGUCGUAAGGGAAAAACACGGUCGCGAGUAACUGCGUGUACCUUUACGGUACCUUAUGAGAAUGCUACGGCUAACUACGUUCCAGCAUCCGCGGUAAUACGUAGGUGCCAAGCGUUGUCCGGAAUUAUUGGGCGUAAAGCGCGCGCAGUCGGUUCUUUAAGUCUGAUGUGAAAGCCCACGACUCAACCAGGGAGGGUCAUUGAAAACUGGAGAGCUUGAGUACAGAAGAGGAAAGCGGAAUUCCGCGUGUAGCGGUGAAGUGCGUAGAGAUGUGGAGGAACACCAGUGGCGAAGGCGGCUUUCUGGUCUGUAACUGACGCUGAGGCGCGAAAGCGUGGGGAGCAAACAGG
This 424-nucleotide ribosomal RNA is filed under the name uncultured bacterium. Its description in RNAcentral is "partial 16S ribosomal RNA". It matches the Rfam family "Bacterial small subunit ribosomal RNA", at positions 360 to 776 of the family's 1533-position model. The record is from RNAcentral.